Molecule: ribosomal RNA, 447 nt
Filed under: uncultured bacterium
Lineage: Bacteria
Description: bacterial SSU rRNA
Rfam family: Bacterial small subunit ribosomal RNA
Source: RNAcentral
UCGGGAAUUUUGGGCAAUGGGCGAAAGCCUGACCCAGCAACGCCGCGUGAAGGAUGAAGUAUUUCGGUAUGUAAACUUCGAAAGAAUAGGAAGAAUAAAUGACGGUACUAUUUAUAAGGUCCGGCUAACUACGUGCCAGCAGCCGCGGUAAUACGUAGGGACCAAGCGUUGUUCGGAUUUAUUGGGCGUAAAGGGCGCGUAGACGGGAAGAUAAGUCAGAUGUGAAAUCUUGGGGCUCAACCUCAAAACUGCAUUUGAAACUAUUUUUCUAGAGGGUAGGCGGAGAAAAUGGAAUUCCACAAGUAGCGGUGAAAUGCGUAGAUAUGUGGAAGAACACCGGUGGCGAAGGCGAUUUUCUAGCUUAUUCCUGACGUUGAGGCGCGAAAGCAAGGGGAGCAAACAGGAUUAGAUACCCCGGUAGUCCCUGAGCGGGCUGGCAAGGCGCAU